AAUAACAAUUUAUAGUACUCCUUCCUUAAUUAAUAACAACAAAAUCAUUUGAAUGCUCAUGUUAUUUAUAUAGAUCAUCUAUGUACAAAUAGAAUUAAACACGUAAGAAAAGUAUCUUUUGAAAGAGAUCAAAAACUCAAGAAAAUGGAAGUCUUGAUUUCAAACUGGUCGAAUGUUGAAUCUGUGCCUAAAACAUACAUUUUUCCACCAGAUAGUAGACCAGGAAAGUUUGAAUUUCCUGUUUGUAAUGAUAUACCACUGAUAGACCUGGACCAUAAUCAUCCAGCUGAUGAGAUAAUUCAACAAGUUAUUAGCGCAUGUCAAAAAUAUGGAUUCUUUCAGGUAUAAUUUUUUAUUUUAUUAAUUUUGUUUUUCAAUCCUCGUGUCCGCUUUGAGGCCUGACUAACCAAAUUUCGCGUCGAAGGGGUAAAGUGUUCCUAAAAAGCAUAGGCAAAGCCAGUAUUCCGUACAAGGGGUAGUAGGGUUAGUUUGGUAGUUUUUUCUUGUACUUAGAUUACUAACUGUACAUGUUUUCAUAUUAUCAUCCGCAUUGGUUUCCUAAUUUCUUGAUGUGCUUGAUGAUUGUUGCUACUGCUUCGUUCCAUCUAUUUUCUAGCCUUAGUUUGCUGUUAUUAUCUUUAUGGCCCUUGAUGUUAGUGUUGCUUAUUUUUACUAUUUUUUUUUCUUUUUUUCUGAGCCGAGGGUCUAUUGAAAAUAGCUUCUCUACCAUCCUAAGGUAGGGGUAAGAUUUGCAUACACACUAUCCUUCUCACAUCCCGCUUGUGGGACUUUACUGGAUUUGUUGUUGUUGCUGGGUUAAAGAUUCUAGUCUUUUUAAGUAAUUUGUGCAUUUUUAGUGUAUUUCUUUAGAUAAAAUACAAGAUUUGGACCAAAGUUACUGAACUCGGCCGAACUUGUAUUUAACAUGCUAGCACCGCCCUACCUAAAAGCGACUCCUUACUCUGGACUCAAACCUGAGACCUCUAGUGAUGGAGGGUUCCGCUACAACUUUGGUAGGUUGUUGUGUGCUUAAUAAUGUUUUAUUUUGCAUAUAAUCAGGUGAUAAACCAUGGAGUAUCUGAAAAUCUAAUGGAUGAAACCAUGAAUAUGUACAAGGAAUUCUUCAAAUUGCCAAGUGAAUACAAGGCACAGUUUUACUCAAAUGACA
This 1168-nucleotide long non-coding RNA is filed under the name Nicotiana tabacum (common tobacco). RNAcentral's name for it is "long non-coding RNA (NTAB_LNC013908)". The record is from RNAcentral. Lineage: Eukaryota; Viridiplantae; Streptophyta; Magnoliopsida; Solanales; Solanaceae.